Molecule: ribosomal RNA, 463 nt
Filed under: uncultured bacterium
Lineage: Bacteria
Description: partial 16S ribosomal RNA
Rfam family: Bacterial small subunit ribosomal RNA
Source: RNAcentral
ACGAACGCUGGCGGCGUGCUUAACACAUGCAAGUCGAACGAUGAAGCCAGCUUGCUGGUGGAUUAGUGGCGAACGGGUGAGUAACACGUGGGUGAUCUGCCCCAAACUUUGGGAUAAGCCUGGGAAACUGGGUCUAAUACCGAAUAUGACCGAUACUCGCAUGGGUGUUGGUGGAAAGCUCCGGCGGUUUGGGAUGGGCCCGCGGCCUAUCAGCUUGUUGGUGGGGUAAUGGCCUACCAAGGCGACGACGGGUAGCCGGCCUGAGAGGGCGACCGGCCACACUGGGACUGAGACACGGCCCAGACUCCUAUGGGAGGCAGCAGUGGGGAAUAUUGCACAAUGGGCGCAAGCCUGAUGCAGCGACGCCGCGUGAGGGAUGACGGCCUUCGGGUUGUAAACCUCUUUCACCAGGGACGAAGCGAAAGUGACGGUACCUGGAGAAGAAGCACCGGCCAACUACGUG